Long non-coding RNA from Chroicocephalus ridibundus (black-headed gull), 929 nucleotides. RefSeq lists it as uncharacterized. The transcript is spliced from 4 exons. The record is from RefSeq and is a predicted model, not a curated record. Lineage: Eukaryota; Metazoa; Chordata; Aves; Charadriiformes; Laridae.
CCGAGGUUGUUUUCCUGUGCGGCCUUCUUUCUCAAAGUAGAAAAAUAAUUCGUUCAGAGCAGGGAAGAGACCUGCAACUUGCUUCUGGAUAAGUCAUCUGGGGGAGAUGGCCCUCGUGUGUGUAAUGGUGCCUCACCUUCUCCUGGUCCUGGGAUGAUGACAGACGGAGAUAUCCUCUGGGAAGAGAAACUGGGGCAGGCUGGGAAUGAGCUGGCCAGCAGCGGGAUGUCGGAGGAGACCUGAUGAUCAUAGCGGAGCACAGAUUUAAGGAGGAAUCAGUUCCUGUGGCUAUUGUAAAGUGGAGACCUGGCUUGGACCCUUUCUCUGGGCGGUCCUGGUUGCAUCUUAGGACAAAUUGAAGAGAAGCCAGAAGAUGGAAGCAAGGAUGGCUAAACAGCAACGUUUUCUUCUGGUUGUCGCUUAAGAAGAGAGAGGCUCGGGAUUGCUUCCUGCCGGGAAACAGCCCUGGGACCCCACACGUGAGCCGCACCCAGGGGAUGCGAUAUAUGGGACUACGUAGUAAAAAUAUAUAUAUGAGCACCUGGGGAAGUGCUGAUCCUACAGUAGAGGGUCUCUCCAGGCAAACCAGACAGUUCUUCACUUCUCCCCUGCCGGCAACCAGGAAAUUUGGAAAUUGCUGGAGUUUCAGUCUUGCUUUCCCCUGUUGCUAAUGAAGUGGGUAAUUAGGCAGAACAGCGGCAAUUUCACUGAUUCUUUAAAGCCUUAUGAAUGGAAAAAUGGCCAUUUUUCCUUGUGCUGGUGCACCCCAGCUAUGAACCCCCCACUCUGGCUCGGCAGCGCUGAGUGUGAAUAAUCCGGCAGCCAAACGCCAGUGCUUUGGGCCUGGGGCUGGGAGAUGCCAUGGCAACAUCUCAGACAGGAGCUGGCUAUGAAUGUAUAUGCACACGCUAAUUAAAAUUUAAACAGCC